Heterocephalus glaber (naked mole-rat) is the source of this 945-nucleotide non-coding RNA. NCBI's taxonomy places the organism in Eukaryota, Metazoa, Chordata, Mammalia, Rodentia, Bathyergidae. The record is from RefSeq and is a predicted model, not a curated record.
CAGCUAAGUGAAAGGAGGAAGAGAGGAAAAGACUGUUCCCUCCCCUGUGGGAAGCAGCACACCCAAGUUUUCACUUUAACCUGAUUAAGUGGGGCAAAUUACUUCUAUUUGGGGUGUGAUUCUUUCAGAACACACCUCUCACAGAGACUACACAGAUACGACAGUCAGACUUGGCAGUGUUUGGUCACCGUUUUUGAAGCCACCACAUUAAACAAAUGAAGGUGGCAGCAAUAAUAUUUGCCCAAACCUUGGUUCCAACAGGGUCAGACAGACUGAGCUUUCAUUACAUGAAAGGAAAAGGUAGGAACACCGAAUGGGCUCUAUUUUCCCUGGACUCCUAGACAAAGUGGAUCUGUCUCUAUCUAGGCUGUGGCCAGGAGGCCACUUUCUCCAGAUGUUAUAUUUAGCUAAAGGAAUCUCCAACGCGGCCUCAUGCAAAAUGUGAAGUAUGUCCCAGCAGGCGUAACCACAAACCAGAGGGCCAGCAGGGGCACCCCUGAAGGGAGUUAGGCAGCACAAAGGGGUUGACUGUGCAGCCACCCUGACAUCCCCAAAUGAGCUGAAUUAGCUGUGAGCCAGAUUUUUGGCCAGUUCUCACAUUUAAUGAGUCUUUGUUUCCCUCUUACUAGAGAUUCUGACCCUGGGGAGAAAAAUAUGCUGCCUAUUUCAAGCCAACUCCCAGCUGAUUGCUCAGCACCAGACCACUUGGAUCCAAGACACGGCUUUCCUGCUCACGCGCUAUCCAUCAGCUACAACCCACACCUGACUUAUCCUGGUCUUGCUGCUUGCAUGUAAACUAUGAAGACCUGACUUGGAUAAAUGAGAAGAUCCACUCGCCCACCAGUUCUCCACGGCUUCUGCAGACCCUAGACUUCUUCAUCCAUACCCCAGGCCUUGGCACUAGCAUUCUGCAAACUACAGGAAAGAAUAAACAAAAAAAGGCCA